ACUAAUGUUGCUGCUGUUAAAACGCUCGUAGUUGGACUCAGAGAUGGAGGUUGCAGUGAGGCCCUCUGCGGCUGGAGCUGUUGCGCCCCCGGGUGUGACGAUCCAACCGCAUUGCGGAACAAACCCACUGCGUUCGACCUUCACUCUUCACACGCGGAACCAUUGGGGCUGUGGAAACCUCCUUGAUUGGUGGUAGAAGCGCUUCCGCAUUCAACACAUGCAUAUGCCCCUGUCCGUGGAGGUUACUGUGAACAAAACAGCGUGUCCAAAGCAACCACAUGUCUGGCUGAAUGAUCUAGCAUGGAAUAACAAGGCAUCGACCACUGGAGUCAGCCUUUUUGUUGGUUUUACAUGACCCAGUUGGGCAAUGCAGGGCUUGCGCUUCAUUGAGGUUCUUAGUCAGCUCUACCGAACUGUCUUCCCUCAGUUGGACCUUGUUCCCUAUCGGGAUCAAUGGAAGCCAUCGGGGUGGUAUGUAUUCCGACGUGAGCGGUGAAAUGCUCAGACCGUUGGAAGACAAACGACAGCGAAGGCAUUCCGCCAGAAUGUUUUCAUUAAUCAAGAACGAGAGUGUGGGGAUCGAAGAUGAUCAGAUACCAUCGUAGUCCAUUACCGUAAACUAUGCCAACUCGGCAUUGGGAGUCUGUUCACUUUGAAGACUCUCCCAGCAUCAUCCCCCAAUAACGAGAAAUCCAAGUCUAUGGGUUCAGGGGGGAGUACAGUCGCAAGGCUGAAACUUAAAGGAAUUGACGGAAUGACACCACAAGGCGUGGAGUAUGCGGCUUAAUUUGACCCAACACGGGGAAGCUUACCAGGUCAGACACAGUAAGGAUUGACAGAUUGAGAGCUCUUUCUUGAUCCUAUGGAUGGUGGUGCAUGGCCGUUUCUGGUUCGUGGAGUGAUCUGUCUGCUUAAUUGCGAUAACGAACGAGAUCUCUACCUCUAAAUAGGCGCCGGUCUCGCAUGUAAGUAGGGAUGUGUUGGGGGCCUUCGUGUCCCCUCAUGUCCUGAGAGUGCCGGGAUCGCUUCUUUGACGGAUUGUGCAUGUCUUUAAUGCACGGAAGAGGGAGUCAAUAGCAGGUCUGUGAUGCUCCUAGAUGUUCUGGGCUGCACGCGCACUACACUGGCACAGUAAACGAGUUGCACCUGCUUCGGCAGUCCUGCUUAGAAGUGAGCGCGGGAAAUCUUAGAAAACUGUGCCGUGCUGGGGAUAGAUGAUUGCGAUUAUUUGUCUUGAACGAGGAAUGCCUAGUAGAGGUACUUCAUCAGAGUACCUUGAUUGUGUCCCUGCCAUUUGUACACACCGCCCGUCGUUGCUACCGAUUGGCUGUAAAAUAGAGGCCUUAAGA
Molecule: ribosomal RNA, 1349 nt
Filed under: metagenome
Description: bacterial SSU rRNA
Rfam family: Eukaryotic small subunit ribosomal RNA
Source: RNAcentral